CUCAGAUACUGCUGGAAUUGGAAGUGAAGCCACAGCUGUGCUCUUAGCUGAGAUGAAUGUGAGAGGAGGAGGAGUGUGACAGGAGCAGCUGCAGCUCCCUCCCCUUCGAACCACUUAGCUUCCAGCCCCCAUCACCAUCAGCUUCUACCUCUCUGCAUCCUGAGGCCUCCAAGAUGCUGGACAUUUUCAUCCUGAUGUUUUUUGCCAUCAUUGGCCUAGUGCUUUUAUCAUACAUCAUCUAUAUAUUGUGAGGAUCAUGCUGACCGUAGGGCAGAACAAACCCUAACCUGCAGGUGAAUGGAUGUGCCAACAUCACCAGGACAUACAUGAAGCACCGUAAUCCAUCGUGUGCCAGAGAAGUGUCUGGAAGGCAGCAAAAUGAUGGGAGUUGUGGACUAUGAAAAACAAAGAUUACUAAAGUGGCACUUAUAGAGAUCAAGAAGAGUGUGAAGCAGGAGACACCCGAGAGAUAAGACAUCUAAAAUGCUCAAUCUAAAUACAUUUCAUGGAUCAAUGACAAUACGCAAUAAACACAAUUUAAAAUAAG
Hyla sarda is the source of this 547-nucleotide long non-coding RNA. RefSeq lists it as uncharacterized. The transcript has 2 exons. NCBI's taxonomy places the organism in Eukaryota, Metazoa, Chordata, Amphibia, Anura, Hylidae. The record is from RefSeq and is a predicted model, not a curated record.